This 377-nucleotide ribosomal RNA is filed under the name uncultured bacterium. RNAcentral describes it as "bacterial SSU rRNA". It matches the Rfam family "Bacterial small subunit ribosomal RNA", at positions 521 to 896 of the family's 1533-position model. The record is from RNAcentral.
UAAGACAGAGGUGCCGAGCGUUAGGCGGAAUCACUGGGCUUAAAGCGUGUGUAGGCGGGCCCGUAAGUACCUUGUGAAAUCCCACCGCUCAACGGUGGAACUGCUCGGUAUACUGCGGGUCUUGAGCCACCUAGGGGCAGCCGGAACAAGCGGUGGAGCGGUGAAAUGCGUAGAUAUCGCUUGGAACGCCAACGGUGAAAACAGACUGCUGGGGGUGUGCUGACGCUGAGACACGAAAGCCAGGGGAGCGAACGGGAUUAGAUACCCCGGUAGUCCUGGCCGUAAACGAUGUCGACUAGAUCGCAGCCGCUCUGACGCGGUUGCGGUCGAAGCAAAAGUGCUAAGUCGACCGCCUGGGAAGUACGGUCGCAAGGCUA